CGCGUAGGCGGAUUGUCAAGUCAGAGGUGAAAGCCCUGGGCUCAACCUGGGAACUGCCUUUGAAACUAACGGUCUAGAGUCCGAGAGAGGAUGGCGGAAUUCCCAGUGUAGAGGUGAAAUUCGUAGAUAUUGGGAAGAACACCAGUGGCGAAGGCGGCCAUCUGGCUCGGUACUGACGCUGAGGCGCGAAAGCGUGGGGAGCAAACA
This 207-nucleotide ribosomal RNA is filed under the name uncultured bacterium. RNAcentral describes it as "partial 16S ribosomal RNA". It matches the Rfam family "Bacterial small subunit ribosomal RNA", at positions 568 to 774 of the family's 1533-position model. The record is from RNAcentral.